UACGAAGGGGGCAAGCGUUGUUCGGAAUUACUGGGCGUAAAGGGCGCGUAGGCGGCCGAUCAAGUCAGGCGUGAAAUUCCCGGGCUCAACCUGGGGGCUGCGCUUGAUACUGAUUGGCUUGAAUGCGGGAGAGGAUGGUGGAAUUCCCAGUGUAGAGGUGAAAUUCGUAGAUAUUGGGAAGAACACCGAUGGCGAAGGCAGCCAUCUGGACCGACACUGACGCUGAGGCGCGAAAGCGUGGGGAGCAAACAGG
Molecule: ribosomal RNA, 253 nt
Filed under: uncultured bacterium
Lineage: Bacteria
Description: partial 16S ribosomal RNA
Rfam family: Bacterial small subunit ribosomal RNA
Source: RNAcentral